Molecule: ribosomal RNA, 425 nt
Filed under: uncultured bacterium
Lineage: Bacteria
Description: partial 16S ribosomal RNA
Rfam family: Bacterial small subunit ribosomal RNA
Source: RNAcentral
GUGAGGAAUAUUGUACAAUGGAGGAAACUCUGAUCCAGCCAUGCCGCGUGAGUGAUGAAGGCCUUCGGGUUGUAAAGCUCUUUCGGGUGUGAAAAUGAUGAUGGUAACACCAGAAGAAGCCCCGGCUAACUCCGUGCCAGCAGCCGCGGUAAUACGGAGGGGGCGAGCGUUGUUCGGAAUCACUGGGCGUAAAGCGUGCGUAGGCGGUUAUACAAGUCAGGAGUGAAAUCCCAGGGCUAAACCUUGGAAUUGCUUUUGAGACUGUAUGACUAGAGAUCUAGAGAGGUUGUGGGAAUGCCGAGUGUAGAGGUGAAAUUCGCAGAUAUUCGGAGGAACACCAGUGGCGUAGGCGCCCAACUGGCUAGAUACUGACGCUGAGGCACGAAAGCGUGGGGAGCAAACAGGAUUAGAUACCCCGGUAGUCC